UACGUAGGGUGCAAGCGUUAAUCGGAAUUACUGGGCGUAAAGCGUGCGCAGGCGGUUUUAUAAGACAGAUGUGAAAUCCCCGGGCUCAACCUGGGAACUGCAUUUGUGACUGUAGAGCUGGAGUACGGCAGAGGGGGAUGGAAUUCCGCGUGUAGCAGUGAAAUGCGUAGAUAUGCGGAGGAACACCGAUGGCGAAGGCAAUCCCCUGGGCCUGUACUGACGCUCAUGCACGAAAGCGUGGGGAGCAAACAGG
This 253-nucleotide ribosomal RNA is filed under the name uncultured bacterium. RNAcentral's name for it is "partial 16S ribosomal RNA". It matches the Rfam family "Bacterial small subunit ribosomal RNA", at positions 524 to 776 of the family's 1533-position model. The record is from RNAcentral.